GACGAACGCUGGCGGCGUGCCUAAUACAUGCAAGUUGAGCGCCGACGGUUGGUACUUGUACCAACUGGAUGAGCAGCGAACGGGUGAGUAACGCGUGGGGAAUCUGCCUUUGAGCGGGGGACAACAUUUGGAAACGAAUGCUAAUACCGCAUAAAAACUUUAAACACAAGUUUUAAGUUUGAAAGAUGCAAUUGCAUCACUCAAAGAUGAUCCCGCGUUGUAUUAGCUAGUUGGUGAGGUAAAGGCUCACCAAGGCGAUGAUACAUAGCCGACCUGAGAGGAGGAUCAGCCAAAGUGGAACUGAGAAAAGGGCCAGAAUCGUACGGGAGGCAGCGGUGGGGAAUAUUGGACAAUGGGUGCAAGCCUGAUCCAGCCAUACAGGGUGGGUGAAGAAGGCCGUCGGGUUGUAAAGCCCUUUUGUUGGGAAAGAAAAGCAGCAGGUUAAUACCCCGCUGUUCUGACGGUACCCAAAGAAUAAGCACCGGCUAACUUCGUG
Molecule: ribosomal RNA, 496 nt
Filed under: uncultured bacterium
Lineage: Bacteria
Description: partial 16S ribosomal RNA
Rfam family: Bacterial small subunit ribosomal RNA
Source: RNAcentral